Molecule: unclassified non-coding RNA, 229 nt
Filed under: plant metagenome
Description: partial contains small subunit ribosomal RNA, internal transcribed spacer 1, and 5.8S ribosomal RNA
Source: RNAcentral
UCUCCGUAGGUGAACCUGCGGAGGGAUCAUUACAGAGUUCUCGCCCUCGCGGGUAGAUCUCCCUCCCACUGUUAUCGUUACUGUGUUGCUUUGGCGGGCCGCCGGGCCCCGCUCGGCCGCCGGCUCCGGCUGGCGCGCGCCCGCCAGAGGCCCAGCAAACUCUGAAUGUUAGUGUCGUCUGAGUACUAUAUAAUAGUUAAAACUUUCAACAACGGAUCUCUUGGUUCUG